GAUGAACGCUGGCGGUAUGCUUAACACAUGCAAGUCGAACGGACUCUUCCGAGUUAGUGGCGGACGUGUGAGUAACGCGUGAGAAUCUGGCUUUGGGUUCGGUACACUCACUGGAAACGGUGGCUAAUACCGGAUGUGCCGAGAGGUAAAAGAGAAAUGGCCUGCAGAUGAGCUCGCGUCUGAUUAGCUAGUUGGUGAGGUAAAGGCUCACCAAGGCAGCGAUCAGUAGCUGGUCUGAGAGGAUGACCAGCCACACUGGGACUGAGACACGGCCGAGACGCAUAGGGGAGGCAGGAGUGGAGAAUUUUCCGAAAUGGGCGAAAGGGUGACGGAGGAAUACCGCGUGAGAGAAGAAGGCUCUGGGGUUGAAAAGCUCUUUUCUUAGGGAAGGAGAAAAUGACGGUACCUAAGGAAUAAGCACCGGCUAACUACGUG
Molecule: ribosomal RNA, 435 nt
Filed under: uncultured bacterium
Lineage: Bacteria
Description: partial 16S ribosomal RNA
Rfam family: Bacterial small subunit ribosomal RNA
Source: RNAcentral